UUUUUUUUUUGGUCAAACUUGUGUCAUGAACAAGCAUUCUAAACAGGAGUGAGUGACAAGCAUUCAGGAAGUGCAUAAGUGUCAGAUGCAUAAGCUUCAAGCUUCGAGUCUCUAUCCGAUGUAUAGUCCAUUCGAGAAGAGAAGUGAAAAGCCCAACAACAAUACUAGAAUGACAACUGCCAUUGGAGUUAGUCUGUCAAUUCUUCACGUGGGCCCUAGUUCUGUUCUCACCUUGUUGUAUGAGAUCGCAUCACAAGGAAUUGCAUCCGAGCUCCUGGCAUUUCUACAAUUUUCGAUCAAUGAACACAAUUGGCCUGCUAACAGUCAACAGAUUGGACUGCAGCCAUACUUACUACAGAAGAAAAUGGAGGUUUCGCAAAAUCUACAGGGAACAGUCACCUUUUUGUGAAGAACAUCAAUGACAUCCAGAGCACGAUGCCUGCGGGGCUUCACCAACGAACAUCAGGAUGGCGCGACGGUGGUUGGAGAAGAAGUUUGAGCAGAGGAGGGGAAACCGUCCAUGGUGAGUCAGAGGUGUGCAAACGAGGAAGAGCGCUGGCCCAGCGCGGGAUCAUGGGUGGAAGGCGGGGACAGUGGCUAGCGGGGUGAAUGGCGCUGGUGCCGUAGCCUGGCGGGGUUAAUGGCGGCUGGCGGCGCACUGGAUCGGGUGGAUCCAGCAGGGACGCACAUUGACGUUGCCGGCAACGGGGAUGCGGGAGGAGGUCGUCGACGGGGUUGCGGAGGAGGCCGCCGGCGGGGUUGCGGGAGGAAGCUCACGGUGGCGGCAGGUCUGCGGGAUGAACAUCGCGGCGGUGGUGGGGUCUGCGGGAGAAGGCCCGCGGCGGCGGAAGGUUCUGCGGGAGGAGGCACGCGGCAGCGGCAGGGUCUGCGGGAGGAGGCCCGCGGUGGCUGCGGGUUCUGCGGGAGGAGGCAGGCGGCGGUGGCGGGGUCUGCGGGAGGAGGCCCGCGGCGGCGGGCGGCGGGUCUGCCGGAGCAGGCCAAUGGCGGCGCUGGUGUUCCGGAGAUGGGAGGAAUCGAGAGAUUGGAGACGACUAGGAAGGUCGUGGGUAGAUUAUGCGUCGGUCCAGGAUGUGAUAGUGGGCCGGUCGGGUUGCUCUGUUUUUUGCUUUCACGGAUCAGCAAAGUCCCAUCGGGCUCUAUAUAAGGCUGAUUGUGAUCCAAAUAUUAUUCUGAUCCUAGGAUCAGAAUAGUGUUACUAUAAUUUCCCAAAGUCAACACUCCUUUUAAAAAUGUCAGAUAUCUGAGAAUUAUCAAAGGACUUAGAAGAUGCACAUUUCUUAUCACAUGACGUACACCAUAGAAGAUUGCAAUGGGCCUUCAGUUUAAUAUUUUUUAUUCAACGGGUGUUUUUCCUUUUUGCAGGUAAGCAGCUGUGGUUAUUGCCAAGAACUGGUUGAACCUAUCGUUUUGGAUCGUGUGCUGUAGGAGUGCCAUUGUUUCACUAUAUGUUAAGGAUACAAAUCUAUCCACCAUUACCUUCUCGAGUUUUCCAAAUCUCAAACUAGUCGGGCUAACACGUCUCCAGGCUCCGGCCUUCAGGUUAGCCAUCCUAUCAUAAGGCUUCAGCAUCGCACCAUGGUUGUAGAACAGCCACCGCUCCUCUUCCAUGAACUUCUGCCAGGCAGAAAACUUGAAUAACAAACAGUGUUCAUGCACAUUCUCAGUGAGAUUGAUUUAGUAAUUAAGAUGCAACUAAAGAGUACUCCCUCCGUCCCAAAAUAUAAGAACGUUUCUAACACUAGCAUAGUAUCAAGAACGUUCUUAUAUUCUAGGACAGAGGAAGUAAAAGAAACAAACAGAUUGCCACAAAGUCAUUGCCAAGUCCCAAGCCCCCUCUUGGGUGAUAGACAAAUGAAGUAUAAAACAAGCACAACAGCAGGUUUACAUCCGGUUGCAGAACAGCCACCACUCUUCUUCCAUGAACUUCUGCCAGGCAGAAAACUUGAAUAGCAAACAGUGUUCAUGCACAUUCUCAGCGAGAUUGAUGGAAAGUAAUUAAGAUGCAACUAAAGAGUAAAAGAAACAAACGAAUUGCCACAAAGUCAUUGCCAAGUCCCAAGCCCCCUCUUGGGUGAUAGACAAAUGAAGUCUAAAACAAGCACAACAGCAGGUUCAUCUUACAGUCUUGAGCAAAGAUAAGAUACUGGAUUUCUUAGAUACCACAAUUAUAAAGUAGUCUUUAGCCUAGAGGACUCGGCUUUUGAAGGAAUGGCUCCGGCCGCACGUAACUGAACCCCACGAAGUUGCUAUCUGCAGCAACAGGGCUGGCCACGGGAGAGUCCAGCACCGGCAUACUCGUCCAGCACUCGUCAAAGUUUGCAAUGCAGGUCUGCCCAGCAACAUUUGGGCAGAAGCUUGGCUUGAUCUGUCGAGCCUCUAGUUUCUUCCAGUUCACUGCCUUGAACCACUUGUGGUUCUUUAUUUCGUCACUGCCGCCCGGUCCACUUCCAAGUCGCCUGCCAGCUUCU
RNAcentral lists this long non-coding RNA (2489 nucleotides) under Triticum aestivum (bread wheat). Its description in RNAcentral is "long non-coding RNA (TAES_LNC001339)". The record is from RNAcentral. Lineage: Eukaryota; Viridiplantae; Streptophyta; Magnoliopsida; Poales; Poaceae.